GGUAGCUGGGUGAAUUGGAUUUUGGAAGGAUGCUUUGUGUCUUUGAAGUAUUUUCUGGCUAAAUACCAUUAAUCUUCAGAGUGAUUCAGUUCUUAAGAUGACAGUUUUCAAUCUCAACAGUUGCUAGUUGUAGAAAUGGCAGAACAGUAGGAGCAGUGAAGCUUUAAGCUAUUGUUCUUUUCCUUGGAGGAGCCUUGAAAGAAUGUACUCACAGACUUACCAAGGAUGAACAGUUUUUAAACAGAUGAUUAAGAUUUAAUUUCUUUUUCAUUGACAUCAAUCACCAAGAUAUAUCCUCUGCUCCUACCAUCUUGAAUCCCCCUGGAGAUAAACUCUAACAAGACAGGAUGAACUUUUAAGGACACACCUCCUCCUUCAAUCUCAGUUGUGAUUUAUCUUGUCAUUUGAAAUGCUGCUUGAUAAAUCACCUUGUGAAGAUGCAAUAUUUGAUGCUCUGCACCUCUCUGUUUUUAUGACUUUAAUAAAAUUUGAGGUUUUGCUGGGAAUUGCUUUUCUUUAGUGAAUUUCCUGAUGUGUUUGGAUUUCAAAUAUUUUCAUUUUGUCAAGUUAUAUGUGACAUUAUCCUGGUUCUUAUGAAUGACAUUAAAAUGAUUGUUCUUAGGUAAUGAAAAUAAUCCUAUUCAAAGAAUUAAUUUUGGAGAAAGUUAAAAAAAAAAAAUAAAGUAAAAAAUCCCAACCCAAAGCAUACAAAAAAUUGAAGCAACAUUUGGCUUUUUUGGAUAUAGUUUCCACUAUGGAGCAUCAGAGUAAUACUGAAGUGAUCAGUUGUCAGUCAUUACACCAGUGACACUGUUUCUAAUUUGAUUUAGCUUCAGAUUAAUUGAAACAGGCAGUAUUGAUUGCCACGAAAAGAACUGGAAGUAAUUUCAUAUGACAGAAGUCAAAUGGGAUGGUUUGGAAGAUGAGUCCAACUCUUACACAGACAUGCCUAUUUUCUGUUUUGUAUUUGCCCUUGAAGAAUUUGUUUUCUUUCUUGAAGAAAAGAGCCCUAUUUGCAUUUGUACAGAGAUGCUUCAUAGUUGAGCAUAUUAUGCAUGAUCCAAUCUACUGCAGUUUACAAUGGUUUUCUAGUCCUUGGUGGGUCUUGGGAUGCUAUCUUGAAAGAUCAUAUAUUUGAGUUAUCAUUUCUUUCUUAUCUCAGAGUUUAUCUUUUAUCUAUAAAGCCUAUAAACCUAUACAUUCCCACUUUCACUGGAAUGAAUCACCUCAUAUUAUGUCACUUGCUGCCUGCCAGAAAUUUCAGUCAGAAAUAAUCAAGAACUGUUUCCUGGAUCUAUUGAUUGGGCAAAAAAGCAUAUAGCAUUAGUACAUGUAAAUGAAUUGAUAUUGAAAAAAUAGGAACAUCACCUAACAUAAUUUUAUUUAGUUCCAUGAAUUGUUGUUUCUUUUCUGGAUCAAACAUGAAUUUUACGUAUGGCAGCCAGGAAGUUCACUGAUGCUUUUAUCUGGCUCAUCCUAAAUGAUUCUUUUCACUAGUUUUGUUUAGUGUUUGAAUCUAAAUUAAUAAGAAAAGGCUGAACUGGAUUUCACUUACUUCCUGGAAAUAAGGUCAAGGCAUGCGUAGAUGCAGGAAAUUGAGCUACAGGAUUUUAAUGAAAAGCUUUACCUGCAGAGUUAAUCUGUGCUAAGAAAUUUAAAGUGGGAAGGAGGAUUUCAUUUAUUUGCUAUACCAGUCUCUGCAGAAAUAAGAACAUAUACCAGGGCAAUAAAGCACUAGCACUGCUUUAUUCCCAAAGCUCUGCUCAGGUGCUCAAGAAUGUGGCAUUGCGCAAAGGUUUACAACACCUCAAAGUGACUCUCCCUGGAAGGAAGGACCCUGGCAUGUGUGCACACAAUCUGCCUGCUUACUUGUUCCACCAGUUUUCCACCAAAUUUUAGUUCUGGUUCCUACAGUACUGUGAGAGCGGGAGGAAUGGCUCAAAAUUCCAUGUUAGUUUCUGUGAAGAUAUUUCAUAUUUAACUUCUUAUGCUGCAGUCUUCAAGCAGCCUGAGCACUUUGAGUUUCAGUUAAGAUGCCUAUAGGGAUGUUUUUUUCUGGGUUGAAGUGUGGUCUAAAGCAUUUUAAUGUCCACGUAGAAGAAGCUUUUGUGCCAAAUGAAAAAUAAAUCACACUGAAUUGAUAUAUAUUCUAUAGCUGCUCCAACCUACCAGUCAGUGCUAGAAAAAGAUAUCCUGGGUUUUGGAAGGAUACUGGGGGUUUGCCAAGCAGCAGUUCCCUAAGGAGGAUUUCAUUUCUACUAAUGUGCUUUGUGGGGCUUGAUACAUCUUUUUUCCACUUCCAUUGUUUCCAAACAUGUUAUGUUCAUCUUCUAGGUUUCUUUUUAGGAAUCUUCACAGUGAUAUUCAUCGCUGGCUAGCCUGCACAGAUGGACAUGUAACUUCCCGUUAUAGGUCAGAUUGUAAGUAAAGUUUUUGUCAAGUUUCAGGGUUUAGCAACCCCCUAGGUUGAGGCAGACGGAGUCACUAUUGUUCUCGAGCUGGCUGCAACAUGAUGACCUCUCUUAAAUUUGGAACGGUGUUUUUUCGAAAACAAAUGUUUUCAAUUUUUUUAAAGGCAGGUUAAAUUCUGCUCCACAAUGUUUUCUGUAAUCGCUGGCCUAGUAGCAAGCCACUCGAAACUCUGCUUUUCCCCCAGCCAUUUUUGAAUCUGUCUCAAAGUACAGUGUUUUUCUAUAUAAUUUAUUUUUUGAUUUGGUUAUAUUAAUGGUCAAGUUGCAUAAUUAAAACAAGCAUCCUACUAAAGUUGCAGUCAUAUGCUCUUAACCCAUCCUCCUUUCAAAGUAGAGUAAGUGUGCAUAUCAUCCCACCAAGGUGUUGACAGAUGAGCUGUAGCAGUUGAGGUUACUUCCCCCAGGUGUCCAUUCUUUCCAGGAGGAGAGUUGGAGAGACAGAAUGUGUCUGUGAGCCUCAGGCUGUUCAGCAUGAGUCUGGAAGCCUGACUCCAACCCCUCAGAAGUGUAAAGCAAGCCAUCAGGGUUUGCACUGAAGUGGGAGAAUUGAGAAUACCUUCCCUCUUGCUGACUUUGCAGGCAGUGUGGCAGUCUUCCUACAGCCAUAGCUAACUACUUUAGUGUCUUCCACUGCCACAGACAAGUAUGGAUCAGAGACCUAGAUUCUUUUCAUGUAUUUGAAGUUCCACACGCCUUGAGAGGUUGUUCUGCCAGGACUUGGACCAAGGUCUUUGACACCUUCUCUUAGGAUGAUAGUGUUUCAUUUAUGACAGUUUUCAAGGACACUUACACCAUAUUAAACUGGAAACUCCUAUUAAUGCACAGUGCAAUUUUCAUAAGUGAGCAGAAGUUGGGGGAGAAAGAUUACUUAGUUUUAUAUCAAUUUACCUACUUUUAUAAUUUUUCUAGAUUACUGGGAAGAGAGCUGUUGAAGGUAGGAAUGCACAAGAUGUGACAAACAUGAAGUGUAUUAAUUGGGUUAAUGAAGUAAUAAGGCCUUAUUUUUUAUUUACUUAUUUCUGUGUAGCUAAAACUUUCUGCUUUUAAAGGUGAUUUCAAGGCUUUUUGCUUUUCUAAAUUUGUGUUUUGGAUAGAUUAUUAAAGAAUCUACCUUAUGUUUACUGAAAUGUGGAUGCUUUCUGCUUGACAAAUUAAACUGAAAUACAAAGGUGGUUCUUGUAGUAGACAAUUUGCUGUCUAAAGGAAGCAAACUGUCUUAAAAACAGUAAAGCUGGAAACAAGGGAUAAAACAGAUAAAAAAAACCAACCCAACCCAAACCCCACAUACAGCUUCCCAAACAAGAUAUAAAUCCUCUUAUUUUCUUCCUUCCCAAAGAAUCUUUCAUCUUUAGUACCUGUUACUGCCUAUUACUGUACUGUUUGCAAGCUGUCAAUUAUCAGGAAUCUUUUCCCCCAGUCUCUCACCAGUGCAUUUGGAAAAAUGAUCAAGAUACUUAAAAAAUUGAAAAGAAUUCCAAUAUAGAAAGUAGAUGAACUUUCCUGUUUGAAGCUGCAUAUCUGCAUCCUUUCCAGAUGUGGAUAGAUCAGUGUUGCUUUGAAAGACUGUUUUGCUGCAACCCUCUCUUCUUGCCUUUCAGAUUAUGUGCUUAUCAUGACUCAUGUCACAGUUCUUGAUUGAGAGGUCUGCUCUGCUGAUUACGUAGAGAAGUAGUCUAGAGCUCCUAAUACAUUUAAAUGACUUGUAAAUGACUCACCUAUUUUGUCUUUUGCUUCUACUGUUGUGUGGUACCUUCUUACUCAUAUGUCAAGGUGAGCUAUUUCCUUAUGUGCUAAAAAUGGGCCCACAUAAUCCCACAAAGUAUAAAUGUAUAAUGAGAGCAUGGCACUUAAGUAGCUACUGCAACUUUAUUCUAGGAUGUGUAUGGAUUUUCAUUAGACAAACAUCUCAAUUACCAAGUUUUUCCUUAAUUCUCUUCUUCUGCAUUAUCAUGCAAUUCUAUCAGAUCCAGAGGACAGCUAUUGACAGGAAUUAUGGGGCUGUCUUGAUCUUCACAGUGGGACCUUCUCUAGUGCGUCUCUUGUCAAAUUUUGUUUUUUGGUCCCUGUCAUGUCUGGACUGGUUCUUAGACUCUGCAAUAUUAUUUUGUGUUCUUCUAUGGCAUUAAGUCUUUUUGAGAGGAAGCUGACCUUCUUUCUCUGUGCUUGCUCAAUGUGAAAUUGUAGCAAUGGUAAAACAAUUUAGCUGAAAUGAUGCAGUGGGUUGUAGUCACUGAAGUGAGGCAUUUCUAGUCCUUUUUUUAUUCUUUCAUACCCUUUCUCUAUCUUUGGGCCCUACUCUGGGCUGGUGUAGUCUCAGGUAUUCCUUGUAACAGGAAUUUUUUUAUCUGGCUUUUUUAUGGCUUUACCAUAAGAUAAUUGAACACAAUAGUUCAGAAGAAAUAUGGUCAUUGCAUGUUUUGGGUUAGUUUCCUGUUGAAUUAAUGAGGUGAAUUAUUUUCCCACACAACUAUAAAAGCAUUAAGAGUUGUGAAUAAUUGUCUGAUAGAAAAACUAGUAGAGAUAUACUCCUUCCAAACCUCAUUGUUCUCUCUAUGUGUAAGUAACAUAGAUAAUGGCAUUUUUUCUAUUAGCAACAGUGUCCUCGUUUAACCCCAGCUGCCACCUCAGCCCACACAGCUGCUUGUUCUUUUUCUCCAGUGGGAUGGGGGAGAGAAUUGAAAUGGCAAAAGUGAGAUAUCCUUGAGAUAAAGACAGUUCAACAGAUAAAGAAAAAGUCGUGUGUGCAAACAGAGUAAAACAAGUGAUCCAUUCACCACUUCCCAUGGGCCAGCAGGUGCUCGGCCAUCCCCAGGAAAGCAGGGCUCCAUCACAUGUUUCUUGGGAAGACAAAUGCCAUCACUUCAAAUAUAUCUCUCAGUUCCUUCUUUCCCCCCAGCUUUGUAUGCUGAGCACGAUGCCAGUGGGGUCAGCUGUCCUGGCUGACCCUUCCCAGUUUCCUGUGUAUCCCCCAGACCACUCACUGGUAGGGCUGUGUGAGAAGCAGAAAAGGCCUCGGCUGUGUGUAAGCCCUGGUCAUCAAUAACAAAAUAAUUCCUAUAUUAUCAACACUGUUUCUGGCUCAAAAGCAAAACGAGACUUAGCCCCAUACUCUCUACUGUGGAGAAAAUUGCCUCUAUCCCAGCCAAAACCAGCACAAAAAUGAAGGUGCUCUCUUUUUGAUAUUGUUGGUUUUUUUUGGUGUUUGUUUUUUUUUUUUUAAUUUUGUUUUUAUUUGGGUUGGGGUUUUUUCCUUUGGCUUUAUUUUUGUCAGUGUGCUUUUUUAAAAUCCAGUUUAUUAGCAUCUAAUCAGAGAUAGGGUUUUACUUUCCCCUUUAUGAGCUACAUGCCUUGCCUUAGAUAAUUGCUUGUGUCUGUUAUUAGCUGAGUAAUAGAAGACUGUAACAUUGAUUUUAAUAGUUCCUUAUUCCCUGUGUGGACCUUGGGAGACUAAAAAGGCUAUGCUACUUGUGCAUAAAAAAAAGAAAAAAAUAUGAAUCAGUUUCAUGGUAUCAGAUCAAAACUGCAAAGAAUAUAUAUAUAUAUUUGCAGCAUUAGAUAGUUGUUUUCUUAAUGUAGCUUAAAUUUAUUUUAUGUAUAGUUCCCUGUAUUAAGAUUAAAAUUUUAUUU
RNAcentral lists this long non-coding RNA (6098 nucleotides) under Taeniopygia guttata (zebra finch). Its description in RNAcentral is "lncRNA (ENSTGUG00000025975.1)". Lineage: Eukaryota; Metazoa; Chordata; Aves; Passeriformes; Estrildidae. The record is from RNAcentral.